GACGAACGCUGGCGGCGUGCUUAACACAUGCAAGUCGAACGGUAAGGCCCUUCGGGGUACACGAGUGGCGAACGGGUGAGUAACACGUGGGUGAUCUGCCCUGCACUUCGGGAUAAGCCUGGGAAACUGGGUCUAAUACCGGAUAGGACUCCGGACUGCAUGGUCUGGGGUGGAAAGCUUUUGCGGUGUGGGAUGGGCCCGCGGCCUAUCAGCUUGUUGGUGGGGUGAUGGCCUACCAAGGCGACGACGGGUAGCCGGCCGGAGAGGGUGACCGGCCACACUGGGACUGAGAUACGGCCCAGACUCCUACGGGAGGAAGCAGUGGGGAAUAUUGCACAAUGGGCGCAAGCCUGAUGCAGCGACGCCGCGUGAGGGAUGACGGCCUUCGGGUUGUAAACCUCUUUCAGCACCGACGAAGCGCAAGUGACGGUAGGUGCAGAAGAAGGACCGGCCAACUACGUGCCAGCAGCCGCCGCCG
Molecule: ribosomal RNA, 478 nt
Filed under: uncultured bacterium
Lineage: Bacteria
Description: partial 16S ribosomal RNA
Rfam family: Bacterial small subunit ribosomal RNA
Source: RNAcentral